Molecule: transfer RNA, 72 nt
Filed under: Phrynosoma platyrhinos (Desert horned lizard)
Lineage: Eukaryota; Metazoa; Chordata; Lepidosauria; Squamata; Phrynosomatidae
Description: tRNA-OTHER
Rfam family: tRNA
About the family: Transfer RNA (tRNA) molecules are approximately 80 nucleotides in length. Their secondary structure includes four short double-helical elements and three loops (D, anti-codon, and T loops).
Source: RNAcentral
GCCAGUGUGGUGUAGAGGUUUGAAUGUUGGACUACGACUCUGGAGACCAGGGUUCAAAUCCCUGCUUGAGCA